UAGGGAAUAUUGGACAAUGGGGGCAACCCUGAUCCAGCAAUGCCGCGUGAGUGAUGAAGGCCUUAGGGUUGUAAAGCUCUUUUACCCGGGAUGAUAAUGACAGUACCGGGAGAAUAAGCCCCGGCUAACUCCGUGCCAGCAGCCGCGGUAAUACGGAGGGGGCUAGCGUUGUUCGGAAUUACUGGGCGUAAAGCGCACGUAGGCGGCGAUUUAAGUCAGGGGUGAAAGCCCGGUGCUCAACACCGGAACUGCCUUUGCGACUGGAUUGCUUGAAUCACGGAGAGGUGGGUGGAAUUCCGAGUGUAGAGGUGAAAUUCGUAGAUAUUCGGAAGAACACCAGUGGCGAAGGCGGCCCACUGGACGUGUAUUGACGCUGAGGUGCGAAAGCGUGGGGAGCGA
This 399-nucleotide ribosomal RNA is filed under the name uncultured bacterium. RNAcentral's name for it is "bacterial SSU rRNA". It matches the Rfam family "Bacterial small subunit ribosomal RNA", at positions 355 to 771 of the family's 1533-position model. The record is from RNAcentral.